AUUACGGCUCAGUAACACGUGGAUAAUCUGCCCUAAGGUCAGGUAUAACUCCGGGAAACUGGUGAUAAUCCCUGAUAUGUCAUAGAAACUGGAAUGUUCUGUGAUUAAAAGCUCCGGCGCCUUAGGAUGAAUCUGCGGUCUAUCAGGUUGUAGUGGGUGUAGAGUACCUACUAGCCUACGACGGAUACGGGUUGUGAGAGCAAGAGCCCGGAGAUGGAUUCUGAGACAUGAAUCCAGGCCCUACGGGGCGCAGCAGGCGCGAAAACUUUACAAUGCGGGAAACCGCGAUAAGGGGAUACUGAGUGCCAGCAUAUUAUGUUGGCUGUCCACCUGUAUAAACAGCAGGUGUUAGCAAGGGCCGGGCAAGACCGGUGCCAGCCGCCGCGGUAACACCGGCGGCCCGAGUGGUGGCCACUAUUAUUGGGUCUAAAGGGUCCGUAGCCGGUUUGAUCAGUCUUCCGGGAAAUCUGACAGCUCAACUGUUAGGCUUCUGGGGGAUACUGUCAGGCUUGGGACCGGGAGAGGUAAGAGGUACUACAGGGGUAGGAGUGAAAUCUUGUAAUCCUUGUGGGACCACCAGUGGCGAAGGCGUCUUACCAGAACGGGUCCGACGGUGAGGGACGAAAGCUGGGGGCACGAACCGGAUUAGAUACCCGGGUAGUCCCAGCCGUAAACGAUGCUCGCUAGGUGUCUGGGACGGUGCGACCGUUUCAGGUGCCGCAGGGAAGCCGUGAAGCGAGCCACCUGGGAAGUACGGCCGCAAGGCUGAAACUUAAA
This 777-nucleotide ribosomal RNA is filed under the name uncultured euryarchaeote. Its description in RNAcentral is "bacterial SSU rRNA". It matches the Rfam family "Archaeal small subunit ribosomal RNA", at positions 82 to 860 of the family's 1478-position model. The record is from RNAcentral. Lineage: Archaea; Methanobacteriati; Methanobacteriota.